Molecule: ribosomal RNA, 482 nt
Filed under: Bacillus sp. (in: firmicutes)
Lineage: Bacteria; Bacillati; Bacillota; Bacilli; Caryophanales; Bacillaceae
Description: Bacillus sp. (in: Bacteria) partial 16S ribosomal RNA
Rfam family: Bacterial small subunit ribosomal RNA
Source: RNAcentral
CAUGCAAGUCGAGCGGAAGAUGGGAGCUUGCUCCCUGAUGUCAGCGGCGGACGGGUGAGUAACAGGUGGGUAACCUGCCUGUAAGACUGGGAUAACUCCGGGAAACCGGGGCUAAUACCGGAUGCUUGAUUGAACCGCAUGGUUCAAUUAUAAAAGGUGGCUUUUAGUUACCCCUUACGAAUGGCCCCGGGGGGAAUAAGUUAGUUGGGGAGGAACCGGUCCACCAGGGCAACAUUGAGAACCCAACCUGAAAGGUGGACGGCCCCACUUGGACCUAAAACCCGCCCCAAACCCCAACGGGGGGCUUCAUAAGGGAUUUUCCCCCAUGGGACAAAGGUUUAAGGGACCACCGCCGGGGGAGGAAUAAAGGUUUUCGAAUGGAAAAAUUCUUUGGUUAGGGAAAAAAAAGUCCCGUUCGAAGAGGGGGCCUCCUGGACGAACCCUAACCAAAAGGCCGCGAUAAAUUCCUGGCCAGAACCCAC